Molecule: ribosomal RNA, 439 nt
Filed under: uncultured bacterium
Lineage: Bacteria
Description: bacterial SSU rRNA
Rfam family: Bacterial small subunit ribosomal RNA
Source: RNAcentral
AUGGGAACGCGAAGAACCUUACCUACUCUUGACAUCCAGAGAACUUAGCAGAGAUGCUUUGGUGCCUUCGGGAACUCUGAGACAGGUGCUGCAUGGCUGUCGUCAGCUCGUGUUGUGAAAUGUUGGGUUAAGUCCCGCAACGAGCGCAACCCUUAUCCUUUGUUGCCAGCGAUUCGGUCGGGAACUCAAAGGAGACUGCCAGUGAUAAACUGGAGGAAGGUGGGGAUGACGUCAAGUCAUCAUGGCCCUUACGAGUAGGGCUACACACGUGCUACAAUGGCAUAUACAAAGAGAAGCGACCUCGCGAGAGCAAGCGGACCUCAUAAAGUGCGUCGUAGUCUGGAUUGGAGUCUGCAACUCGACUCCAUGAAGUCGGAAUCGCUAGUAAUCGUAGAUCAGAGUGCUACGGUGAAUACGUUCCCGGGUCUUGUACACACCG